GGUUCUGUAGUGUAGUGGUUAGCACUCUGGACUUUGAAUCCAGCGACCUGGGUUCGACUCCCGGCAGGACCU
RNAcentral lists this transfer RNA (72 nucleotides) under Prunus dulcis (almond). RNAcentral describes it as "tRNA tRNA.Gln". It matches the Rfam family "tRNA". From Rfam's summary of the family: Transfer RNA (tRNA) molecules are approximately 80 nucleotides in length. Their secondary structure includes four short double-helical elements and three loops (D, anti-codon, and T loops). Further hydrogen bonds mediate the characteristic L-shaped molecular structure. tRNAs have two regions of fundamental functional importance: the anti-codon, which is responsible for specific mRNA codon recognition, and the 3' end, to which the tRNAs corresponding amino acid is attached (by aminoacyl-tRNA synthetases). tRNAs cope with the degeneracy of the genetic code in two manners: having more than one tRNA (with a specific anti-codon) for a particular amino acid; and 'wobble' base-pairing, i.e. permitting non-standard base-pairing at the 3rd anti-codon position. The record is from Rfam by way of RNAcentral. RNAcentral also lists the same sequence under 4 other names. Lineage: Eukaryota; Viridiplantae; Streptophyta; Magnoliopsida; Rosales; Rosaceae.